Blastomonas sp. AAP25 is the source of this 73-nucleotide transfer RNA. It matches the Rfam family "tRNA". From Rfam's summary of the family: Transfer RNA (tRNA) molecules are approximately 80 nucleotides in length. Their secondary structure includes four short double-helical elements and three loops (D, anti-codon, and T loops). Further hydrogen bonds mediate the characteristic L-shaped molecular structure. tRNAs have two regions of fundamental functional importance: the anti-codon, which is responsible for specific mRNA codon recognition, and the 3' end, to which the tRNAs corresponding amino acid is attached (by aminoacyl-tRNA synthetases). tRNAs cope with the degeneracy of the genetic code in two manners: having more than one tRNA (with a specific anti-codon) for a particular amino acid; and 'wobble' base-pairing, i.e. permitting non-standard base-pairing at the 3rd anti-codon position. NCBI's taxonomy places the organism in Bacteria, Pseudomonadati, Pseudomonadota, Alphaproteobacteria, Sphingomonadales, Blastomonadaceae. The record is from Rfam.
GCCGCUUUAGCUCAGCUGGUAGAGCAACCGCCUUGUAAGCGGUAGGUCGUUGGUUCGAAUCCGACAAGCGGCA